RNAcentral lists this ribosomal RNA (705 nucleotides) under Triticum aestivum (bread wheat). RNAcentral's name for it is "partial small subunit ribosomal RNA". Lineage: Eukaryota; Viridiplantae; Streptophyta; Magnoliopsida; Poales; Poaceae. The record is from RNAcentral.
AUGAUCACAUUUGCGUCUUGUACUUUGGAGCUGCCAGUCAAAUUCCUUGAUACCUUUGACAAGAUACGGCGAAGAUGUUUAUGGGAAAAGAAAUCUGAACAUGGUCAAUCUUGUAACUCUUUAGUGGCUUGGAAAAGAGUGUGUUGUCCCAAAGAUAAGGGAGGUCUCAGAGUGAUCAACACUAAAGUUCAUAAUCAAGCACACCUCCUGAAAUUCUUGGAUAAAUUUUACAAUCAUGCAGAUCUCCAAUGGGUUAAAUUACUUUGGGAGUCAUACUAUACUGGUACUGUCCCUCAUGCUGUCCCUAAGUGCGGUUCAUUUUGGUGGCGGUCUAUGGUUAAACUUAUUCCUAUCUACAGAGGAUUCACCAAAUGUGAGGUACGGAAUGGCUUAAAUGUAUCCAUGUGGCAUGAUAAUUGGAAUGGUCUAGUGCUCUCUGAAAACUAUGCCUGCUUGUAUUCAUAUUCCAAGGUUGAAGAUAUCUCAGUUCACACGUACUAUGAGACUAAUGAUUUGAAUAUGAUAUUUCAUUUACCUCUAUCUCCCGAGGCUCUCAAUGAGUUACACUCCAUAGAUAGUCUAAAACCGCCACAAAUUCUUGAGACUGAAAGUACUGAUCAAUGGUCAUACCCAUGGGGACCAGUUUAUUCGGCCAAAAAAUCUACACUCACUGUCAUAGACAAAUCACCUGUCCGGAGCCUUUAA